Molecule: ribosomal RNA, 323 nt
Filed under: Vibrio parahaemolyticus
Lineage: Bacteria; Pseudomonadati; Pseudomonadota; Gammaproteobacteria; Vibrionales; Vibrionaceae
Description: bacterial LSU rRNA
Rfam family: Bacterial large subunit ribosomal RNA
Source: RNAcentral
GAGGCGAACCGGGGGAACUGAAACAUCUAAGUACCCCGAGGAAAAGAAAUCAACCGAGAUUCCGAAAGUAGCGGCGAGCGAAAUUGGACUAGCCCUUAAGCUUUACACGCGUUAGACGAACGGUCUGGAAAGUCCGACGAUACAGGGUGAUAGUCCCGUAGUUGACGACGUGUGUUCAGUGAAAUCGAGUAGGGCGGGACACGUGAUAUCCUGUCUGAAUAUGGGGGGACCAUCCUCCAAGGCUAAAUACUACUGACUGACCGAUAGUGAACCAGUACCGUGAGGGAAAGGCGAAAAGAACCCCUGUGAGGGGAGUGAAAUAG